RNAcentral lists this unclassified non-coding RNA (353 nucleotides) under soil metagenome. RNAcentral describes it as "partial contains 5.8S ribosomal RNA, internal transcribed spacer 2, and large subunit ribosomal RNA". The stretch from base 1 to 120 matches the Rfam family "5.8S ribosomal RNA", at positions 35 to 154 of the family's 154-position model. The record is from RNAcentral.
GAUGAAGAACGUAGCGAAAUGCGAUAAGUAGUGUGAAUUGCAGAAUUCAGUGAAUCAUCGAAUCUUUGAACGCACAUUGCGCCUCCUGGUAUUCCGGGAGGCAUGCCUGUUCGAGCGUCAUUAAAAUCACUCAAGCUUAGGUUUACCUAUUGCUUGGUCUUGGAGAUGGAAGCCAAUUUAUUGGAAUCCUCUUCGAAAUUCAAUGGCGAAGACCCUUGCUCUCCCAAGUGUAGUAAUAACUUAUGUCACUGAAGGAAGCGAGAAAUCUUCUGCCGUAACCCCCAUAUUUUCUAUGAUUGACCUCGGAUCAGGUAGGGAUACCCGCUGAACUUAAGCAUAUCAAUAGCGGAGGA